AUGACAGCUGUUCGGCAAGUAUAGAAAGCGCUGAGUCUAAAACUGGGACAGGGAGGAACAGGGCUGUGGGGAGAGAGGCUGAAAGAAAAGAAGAUGAUAAAAUAGAUGGUAUUUUACAGAAAGCAGAGAGAAAUUUGUGCGGUGGAAAGGUGGCAAUAUACAGAGAAAGAGGAAACACUGGCCUGCAGCAGUAGCCCUAGGGCACUCAUCUCUGUGCAAACACUGGCAACAAAAAAGGUAAUUUUUAAACUUGUGAUCCUAUUAAAGUAAUGCUAAUGAUUUAGGUAGUUGAGGAACAUUAUUCAUUAACCAAGCAUAUGUGGUUUUACUUUUCUUCUUUCACUAAAACUCUAAAAAAUCUAUGUACUUUUAUAGGAAACAUUGCUGUCCUUGAAGUUUUGAUAUUUACAGUCUUUAAAUAUGCUUUUUGGGGAUAGCUCAGCAGGGCCACCACCUGCACUGCAAGCACAAGGACCCAGGUUCGAUCUCUGGUACCAAAAAAACCAAAAACCCCCCAAAAAAGCUUUUUUGUGAGAUUUAAAACAACGAACUUAUUCUGAUGCCAUCA
This 568-nucleotide long non-coding RNA is filed under the name Fukomys damarensis (Damara mole-rat). RNAcentral's name for it is "lncRNA (ENSFDAG00000029656.1)". The record is from RNAcentral. Lineage: Eukaryota; Metazoa; Chordata; Mammalia; Rodentia; Bathyergidae.